Molecule: ribosomal RNA, 253 nt
Filed under: uncultured bacterium
Lineage: Bacteria
Description: partial 16S ribosomal RNA
Rfam family: Bacterial small subunit ribosomal RNA
Source: RNAcentral
GACGAACCGUGCGAACGUUGUUCGGAAUCACUGGGCUUAAAGGGCGCGUAGGCGGCGAUUCAAGUCAGGGGUGAAAUCCGGCAGCUUAACUGUCGAAGUGCCUUUGAUACUGAAUUGCUUGAGGGAGGUAGGGGUCUGUGGAACUAGUGGUGGAGCGGUGAAAUGCGUUGAUAUCACAAGGAACGCCGGUGGCGAAAGCGACAGACUGGAUCUCUUCUGACGCUGAGGCGCGAAAGCUAGGGGAGCAAACGGG